RNAcentral lists this ribosomal RNA (253 nucleotides) under uncultured bacterium. RNAcentral's name for it is "partial 16S ribosomal RNA". It matches the Rfam family "Bacterial small subunit ribosomal RNA", at positions 524 to 776 of the family's 1533-position model. The record is from RNAcentral.
UACGGAGGGUGCAAACGUUGCUCGGAAUUAUUGGGCGUAAAGCGCACGUAGGCGGUCCGACAAGUCGGGAGUGAAAUCCCUCGGCUUAACCGAGGAAGUGCUUUCGAAACUAUCGGACUUGAAUACCGGAGAGGGUCGCGGAAUUCCCGGUGUAGAGGUGAAAUUCGUAGAUAUCGGGAGGAACACCAGUGGCGAAGGCGGCGACCUGGACGGAUAUUGACGCUGAGGUGCGAAAGCGUGGGGAGCAAACAGG